RNAcentral lists this transfer RNA (74 nucleotides) under Bos taurus (domestic cattle). It matches the Rfam family "tRNA". From Rfam's summary of the family: Transfer RNA (tRNA) molecules are approximately 80 nucleotides in length. Their secondary structure includes four short double-helical elements and three loops (D, anti-codon, and T loops). The record is from Rfam by way of RNAcentral. RNAcentral also lists the same sequence under 4 other names. Lineage: Eukaryota; Metazoa; Chordata; Mammalia; Artiodactyla; Bovidae.
UCCCUGGCGGUCCAAUGGCUAAGACUCUCUGCUCCCAAUGCAGUGGGGCCCGGGUUCAAUUCCUGGUCAGGGAA